UUAAAAAGCUCGUAGUUGGAUUUCUGGUUGGAGCGACCGGUCGGGCAUUGAUUUGUCUGCACUGGAGUCGGUUCUGGCCAUCCUCUUGGAAAGUGCGUCUGACAUUAAGUUGUCGGGCGUAUGAUCCAGGACGUUUACUGUGAAAAAAUUAGAGUGUUUAAAGCAGGCCUUCGCCUUGAAUACAUUAGCAUGGAAUAAUAAGAUAGGACUUUGGUCUAUUUUGUUGGUUUGCAGACCGAAGUAAUGAUUAAUAGGGAUAGUUGGGGGUAUUUAUAUUCCAAUGUCAGAGGUGAAAUUCUUAGAUUUUUGGAAGAUAAACUUUUGCGAAAGCAUUUA
This 336-nucleotide ribosomal RNA is filed under the name uncultured eukaryote. Its description in RNAcentral is "SSU rRNA". It matches the Rfam family "Eukaryotic small subunit ribosomal RNA", at positions 619 to 957 of the family's 1831-position model. The record is from RNAcentral.